This is a long non-coding RNA of Lagopus muta (rock ptarmigan), 582 nucleotides long. RefSeq lists it as uncharacterized. The transcript has 3 exons. The record is from RefSeq and is a predicted model, not a curated record. Lineage: Eukaryota; Metazoa; Chordata; Aves; Galliformes; Phasianidae.
UACUCCAGCCUGAAAAGUAAUUGCAAGUCCUUGAGGCUCAUAAGGGAUUUGAGUCCUUUGCUGACUAAGGAUGCAGUUUAAAUAAAUGCACAUCGUUAAGCAGUUGUCUAUAUGGUUUUCCAGAGAUGCCAGCAGAAUUUUUGAGCCUCUGUAGGCCAGGUAUAAGGUGAAAAAAGCUGCAAGAAAAUGUUCUUCUCUACAGCUUUAAUGAAAGAAUCCCUCUUAUUGCUCCAAAUACAGGAAGGUGUCAUAAAGCAUCAUAAAGCCAAAGAGGAGACAAGGAAGCCUUGCUUCUGAUUUGAAUGGAAAGACUCUCGACUACCUCUGAGCAGGCAAUUAUCAAACUUGUCAAAUGCAACAAGCUUUGCUGAACUCCUCCCAUAGUCACUGCUGUUUGCAGUGAAUUCAGCAGAGUCAAAGGGAAAGAACAUGGUCAUGGCCAUGGAAGGACAAGAGGUCUGAGAUCAUGAUUCCUAAGACAAACAGAUCUGACUAGAGAGUUAUGUACCUUUGAUUUUCCCUGCAGGAUCCUGGCUCAAAGAUAUUUAAAUCACCUGAAUGUCAGCAUACUCAGUGCAGUGU